UUGGAGGGCAAGUCUGGUGCCAGCAGCCGCGGUAAUUCCAGCUCCAAUAGCGUAUGUUAAAGUUGUUGCAGUUAAAAAGCUCGUAGUUGAAUUUCGGGGUUAGUAGGUUGGUCAUGCCUCUGGUAUGUACUGGUCUCACUGAUUCCUCCUUCCUGAUGAGCCGUAAUGCCAUUAAUUUGGUGUUGCGGGGAAUUUGGACUGUUACUUUGAAAAAAUUAGAGUGUUUAAAGCAAGCUAACGCUUGAAUACAUUAGCAUGGAAUAAUGAAAUAGGACGUUCGAUCCUAUUUUGUUGGUUUCUAGGAUUGACGUAAUGAUUAAUAGGGAUAGUUGGGGGCAUUAGUAUUCAAUUGUCAGAGGUGAAAUUCUUGGAUUUAUUGAAGACUAACUACUGCGAAAGCAUUUGCCAAGGAUGUUUUCAUUAAUCAAGAACGAAAGUUAGGGGAUCGAAGACGAUCAGAUACCGUCGUAGUCUUAACCAUAAACUAUGCCGACUAGGGAUCGGAUGAUGUUAAUUUUUUAAUGACUCAUUCGGCGCCUUACGGGAAAC
This 549-nucleotide ribosomal RNA is filed under the name uncultured Glomeromycotina. Its description in RNAcentral is "SSU rRNA". It matches the Rfam family "Eukaryotic small subunit ribosomal RNA", at positions 548 to 1098 of the family's 1831-position model. The record is from RNAcentral. Lineage: Eukaryota; Fungi; Glomeromycota.